This 496-nucleotide ribosomal RNA is filed under the name uncultured bacterium. RNAcentral's name for it is "partial 16S ribosomal RNA". It matches the Rfam family "Bacterial small subunit ribosomal RNA", at positions 28 to 506 of the family's 1533-position model. The record is from RNAcentral.
GAUGAACGCUGGCGGCGUGCCUAAUACAUGCAAGUCGAGCGAACAGACGAGGAGCUUGCUCCUCUGACGUUAGCGGCGGACGGGUGAGUAACACGUGGAUAACCUACCUAUAAGACUGGGAUAACUUCGGGAAACCGGAGCUAAUACCGGAUAAUAUAUUGAACCGCAUGGUUCAAUAGUGAAAGACGGUUUUGCUGUCACUUAUAGAUGUAUCCGCGCGGCGUUAGCUAGUUGGUAAGGUAACGGCUUACCAAGGCGACGAUGCGUAGCCGACCUGAGGGGGUGAUCGGCCACACUGGAACGGAGAGACGGUCAAGACUCGUAGGGGAGGCAGCAGUAGGGAAUCUUCCGAAAUGGGCGAAAGCCUGACGGAGCAACGCGGCGUGAGUGAUGAAGGUCUUCGGAUCGUAAAACUCUGUUAUUAGGGAAGAACAAAUGUGUAAGUAACUAUGCACGUCUUGAGGGUACCUAAUCAGAAAGCCACGGCUAACUACGU